CUGCGACCAAUGAAACUGCCUGUCCUUCCUCUGGAAGAUGGCGUGCAAAGGCCGUGAAAAGCAACCUGCUUGGUAGUAGACUCAGCCAGGUGCCAUGCCUGGGCUGUCCUAUGGGACCUCGGAGACAGCC
Small nucleolar RNA from Echinops telfairi (small Madagascar hedgehog), 130 nucleotides. RefSeq annotates it as small nucleolar RNA SNORA70. The record is from RefSeq and is a predicted model, not a curated record. The transcript has a single exon. Lineage: Eukaryota; Metazoa; Chordata; Mammalia; Afrosoricida; Tenrecidae.